GCCACGGUCUCCGACGGGGCCACUCCCUUAUCUGCCACUCCAACAUCUGCCUCCGUCCCCGACGGAGCCACUCCCACAUCUGCCACAGUCUCCGUCCUCGACGGGGCCACUCCCUCAUCUGCCUCCGUCUCCCUCCCCGACGAGCCCCCCUCCUUUGUCACUACUCCCGUCCUAUCGCGCUCCACGGAUAAAAUAAACGAUUCCCAUGCAUCAUCAUCAUGUAUGUAUGAC
RNAcentral lists this long non-coding RNA (231 nucleotides) under Olea europaea subsp. europaea. Lineage: Eukaryota; Viridiplantae; Streptophyta; Magnoliopsida; Lamiales; Oleaceae. The record is from RNAcentral.